CAAAUUGGUACCCAAAGAUGCUGAGAGGGAUGCAGGGAAGGAGGAAGGAUGCUCUGAUUGGUACCCAAAGAUGCUGAGAGGGAUACAGGGAAGGAGGAAGGAUGCUCUGAUUGGUACCCAAAGAUGCUGAGAGGGAUGCAGGGAAGGAGGAAGGAUGCUCUGAUUGGUACCCAAAGAUGCUGAGAGGGAUACAGGGAAGGAGGAAGGAUGCUCUGAUUGGUACCCAAAGAUGCUGAGAGGGAUGCAGGGAAGGAGGAAGGAUGCUCUGGUCAAAAUUGGUACCCAGGAGGUUGAGAGGGAUGCAGAGAAGGAGGAAGGAUGCUCAGAGGGAUGGAGAGUGGUACCCGGGAUACGGAGAGGGAUGCUGAGAAGGAGGAAGGAUGCUGAGAGGGAGGAAGG
This is a long non-coding RNA of Podarcis raffonei (Aeolian wall lizard), 399 nucleotides long. RefSeq lists it as uncharacterized. NCBI's taxonomy places the organism in Eukaryota, Metazoa, Chordata, Lepidosauria, Squamata, Lacertidae. The record is from RefSeq and is a predicted model, not a curated record. The transcript has 6 exons.